Pimephales promelas (fathead minnow) is the source of this 1103-nucleotide non-coding RNA. The record is from RefSeq and is a predicted model, not a curated record. NCBI's taxonomy places the organism in Eukaryota, Metazoa, Chordata, Actinopteri, Cypriniformes, Leuciscidae.
UGCCAGUCUGCCUCUGAAUUCAGUAUGGGUUGCAAGUGUUUUUUGGCUCGGUUUAAGAAUUUGUCAGGUUUGCACUGGCUCCCCCGUGAUCCUGACAGAGUUAGAUUGUGGCUGCAGGCAGUGGGCUGCCCAUCAACUACCGACACAAGAUUGUUGGUGUGUAACAAGCAUUUUCCACGGGAGAGCUUUUAUAGACAUGAGGACUAUGGCGUUGCUCAUGAAGGUAUUAUCCGAAGAGAAGACACUGAGAAAAGUCUCAAAUACAUUUUGAUCCCUACAGGGCAGCCGUUUCACUUAAACUGUUGGCUAGAAAUAUUGGAAUUUUGCCCAGUGAGCGCAGGUGAAGGAGGAAGUCUAAAUAUGGUCAUUGGUGAGAUGAAUUUCUCGUGAUGUCACAAACAGCCGGGUUCUUCACACAAUCAGAUGGCAUCAGUUAAUGCACAUUACUUAUGUGAAGCAUAUAAUGUAACAGUUUUUGUUAUAUUGUUAAAUGUUAAAGUGAUGAUAAUACAUAAAGUGAAGGAUUGUACAUUGUUUUUGAGUUUGAGGGGGAAAUAAUUGAAGAGUUAAGCUAUUUUGUUGGAAAUGUAACGUUGUUCAUAAAUUGUAAUGACAUUUAGAAGAUUUAUCAUUUAUUAUGAUUUAAGAUUUCUGAAUAUUCAUAAAAAUCAAAUGUAUAAAUGGUUAUAAUUUAAAAUAUCCUUUAUUAAAUCAAGCAAUGGUUUGAAAUAAUCUGAAUCAGCAGACACAUUUUAAGGCCUCAGUAAAGAAAGCUAUCUUGUUUAUAAUAAUAAUUAGUUUUUUUGGGCCAGCUCCUAUUUAUGAAUGCUCAUAUACUGUUUCAACAUUUGAAAUCAAAUUGACUGCUACUUUAUGCUUUUGUUCUCUGUACUAGUGUAUCCUCAUUUUUGUUUUCAUUUAGGAAGCAAAAUUAAUUCCAAGAUUUUUAAUGUACCGGUAUUGUGUUCCUUAUGUUUCAGGCUACACAUAGCUUGUCUGGUGUUUUCUUAUGUGUAUGUCUUAUCAACAUCAAUGUUUAAAAGGUUUUUGGAAACCCUGUAUUACAAAUAGGCUUGUUUUAAAUAAAAACUGACUUGAUCUCA